CCUACGGGUGGCUGCAGUCGAGAAUCAUUCACAAUGGGGGAAACCCUGCUGGUGCGACGCCGCGUGGGGGGAAUGAAGGUCUUCGGAUUGUAAACCCCUGUCAUGUGGGAGCAAAUUAAAAAGAUAGUACCACAAGAGGAAGAGACGGAUAACUCUGUGCCAGCAGCCGAGGUAAUACAGAGGUCUAAAGCGUGGUUCGGAUUCACUGGGCGUAAAGCGUGCGUAGGCUGUUUCGUAAGUCGUGUGUGAAAGGCGCGGGCUUACCCCGCGGGCGGCAAAUGAUACUGCGGGACUAGAGGAAUGGAGGGGGAACCGGAAUUCGCGGUGUAGCAGGGAGAUGCGUAGAUAUCGAGAGGAACACUCGUGGCGAAGGCGGGUUCCUGGACAUUAACUGACGCUGAGGCACGAAGGCCAGGGGAGCGAAAGGGAUUAGAUACCCCUGUAGUC
This 447-nucleotide ribosomal RNA is filed under the name uncultured bacterium. Its description in RNAcentral is "partial 16S ribosomal RNA". It matches the Rfam family "Bacterial small subunit ribosomal RNA", at positions 338 to 795 of the family's 1533-position model. The record is from RNAcentral.